Non-coding RNA from Parelaphostrongylus tenuis, 73 nucleotides. The record is from the annotation of a GenBank genome assembly. Lineage: Eukaryota; Metazoa; Nematoda; Chromadorea; Rhabditida; Metastrongylidae.
GCAUCGGUGGUGUAGUGGUAGAGCACGCAUCCUAGGUAUGGAUGAAACGCGGAUUCGAUUGCCACCUAAGGCC